UACGGGAGGCAGCAGUGGGGAAUAUUGCACAAUGGGCGCAAGCCUGAUGCAGCCAUGCCGCGUGUAUGAAGAAGGCCUUCGGGUUGUAAAGUACUUUCAGUCGUGAGGAAGGUGUUAAGGUUAAUAACCUUAGCAAUUGACGUUAGCGACAGAAGAAGCACCGGCUAACUCCGUGCCAGCAGCCGCGGUAAUACGGAGGGUGCGAGCGUUAAUCGGAAUUACUGGGCGUAAAGGGCACGCAGGCGGUUAAUUAAGUUGGAUGUGAAAUCCCCGGGCUUAACCUGGGAAUGGCAUUCAAGCUGGUUAGCUAGAGUCUUGUAGAGGGGGUAGAAUUCCAUGUGUAGCGGUGAAAUGCGUAGAGAUGUGGAGGAAUACCGGUGGCGAAGGCGGCCCCUGGACAAAGGACUGACGCUCAUGUGCGAAAGCGUGGGGAGCAAACAGGGAUUAGAUACC
RNAcentral lists this ribosomal RNA (453 nucleotides) under uncultured bacterium. RNAcentral describes it as "bacterial SSU rRNA". It matches the Rfam family "Bacterial small subunit ribosomal RNA", at positions 340 to 786 of the family's 1533-position model. The record is from RNAcentral.